Molecule: ribosomal RNA, 491 nt
Filed under: Bacillus pumilus
Lineage: Bacteria; Bacillati; Bacillota; Bacilli; Caryophanales; Bacillaceae
Description: bacterial SSU rRNA
Rfam family: Bacterial small subunit ribosomal RNA
Source: RNAcentral
GGCGGCGUGCCUAAUACAUGCAAGUCGAGCGGAAGAAGGGAGCUUGUCCCGGAUGUUAGCGGCGGACGGGUGAGUAACACGUGGGUAACCUGCCUGUAAGACUGGGAUAACUCCGGGAAACCGGAGCUAAUACCGGAUAGUUCCUUGAACCGCAUGGUUCAAGGAUGAAAGACGGUUUCGGCUGUCACUUACAGAUGGACCCGCGGCGCAUUAGCUAGUUGGUGAGGUAACGGCUCACCAAGGCGACGAUGCGUAGCCGACCUGAGAGGGUGAUCGGCCACACUGGGACUGAGACACGGCCCAGACUCCUACGGGAGGCAGCAGUAGGGAAUCUUCCGCAAUGGACGAAAGUCUGACGGAGCAACGCCGCGUGAGUGAUGAAGGUUUUCGGAUCGUAAAGCUCUGUUGUUAGGGAAGAACAAGUGCAAGAGUAACUGCUUGCACCUUGACGGUACCUAACCAGAAAGCCACGGCUAACUACGUGCCAGCAG